GUGCGCGUAGUUUAACUAAAAUGCUAGGUCGUGACCCUAGAGUUAUGGGUCACCCAUCGCGCACC
RNAcentral lists this transfer RNA (65 nucleotides) under Hemitheconyx caudicinctus (African fat-tailed gecko). RNAcentral's name for it is "tRNA-His". Lineage: Eukaryota; Metazoa; Chordata; Lepidosauria; Squamata; Eublepharidae. The record is from RNAcentral.